GUCAGGUGGGGAACGAAGCAACAGAAACCUUGUUUUGCUUAUGCAUUUG
RNAcentral lists this non-coding RNA (49 nucleotides) under uncultured Thalassiosira. The record is from RNAcentral. Lineage: Eukaryota; Bacillariophyta; Thalassiosirophyceae; Thalassiosirales; Thalassiosiraceae.